CGGGUGAGUAAUGCUUGGGAAUCUGGCCUAUGGAGGGGGAUAACUACGGGAAACUGUAGCUAAUACCGCGUAGUGUCGAGAGACGAAAGUGCGGGACCGAAAGGCCGCAUGCCAUGAGAUGAGCCCAAGUGGGAUUAGGUAGUUGGUGGGGUAAAGGCCUACCAAGCCUGCGAUCUCUAGCUGGUCUGAGAGGAUGGCCAGCCACACUGGAACUGAGACACGGUCCAG
RNAcentral lists this ribosomal RNA (228 nucleotides) under uncultured bacterium. RNAcentral describes it as "partial 16S ribosomal RNA". It matches the Rfam family "Bacterial small subunit ribosomal RNA", at positions 103 to 334 of the family's 1533-position model. The record is from RNAcentral.